RNAcentral lists this ribosomal RNA (311 nucleotides) under uncultured Gammaproteobacteria bacterium. RNAcentral's name for it is "bacterial SSU rRNA". It matches the Rfam family "Bacterial small subunit ribosomal RNA", at positions 195 to 491 of the family's 1533-position model. Lineage: Bacteria; Pseudomonadati; Pseudomonadota; Gammaproteobacteria. The record is from RNAcentral.
UCAGGACCAAAGUGGGGACUUCGGCCUCACGCCUAAGAUUAGCCCAAGUGGGAUUAGCUAGUUGGUGAGGUAAAGGCUCACCAAGGCAACGAUCCCUAGCUGGUUUGAGAGGAUGAUCAGCCACACUGGAACUGAGACACGGUCCAGACUCCUACGGGAGGCAGCAGUGGGGAAUAUUGCACAAUGGGCGCAAGCCUGAUGCAGCCAUGCCGCGUGUGUGAAGAAGGCCCUAGGGUUGUAAAGCACUUUCAGCGAGGAGGAAAGGUUAUAGUUUAAUAGACUAUAGCUGUGACGUUACUCGCAGAAGAAGC